This 368-nucleotide ribosomal RNA is filed under the name uncultured organism. RNAcentral describes it as "partial 16S ribosomal RNA". It matches the Rfam family "Bacterial small subunit ribosomal RNA", at positions 527 to 896 of the family's 1533-position model. The record is from RNAcentral.
GGAAGGUCCAGGCGUUAUCCGGAUUUAUUGGGUUUAAAGGGUGCGUAGGCCGUUUGAUAAGCGUGCUGUGAAAUAUAGUGGGCUCAACCUCUAUCGUGCAGCGCGAACUGUCGAACUUGAGUGCGUAGUAGGUAGGCGGAAUUCGUGGUGUAGCGGUGAAAUGCUUAGAUAUCACGAAGAACUCCGAUUGCGAAGGCAGCUUACCGUAACGUUACUGACGCUUAAGCACGAAGGUGCGGGUAUCGAACAGGAUUAGAUACCCUGGUAGUCCGCACAGUAAACGAUGGAUGCUCGCUGUUGGCCUUUAAUGGUCAGUGGCUUAGCGAAAGCGUUAAGCAUCCCACCUGGGGAGUACGCCGGCAACGGUG